Molecule: ribosomal RNA, 820 nt
Filed under: Entomophthora schizophorae
Lineage: Eukaryota; Fungi; Entomophthoromycota; Entomophthoromycetes; Entomophthorales; Entomophthoraceae
Description: eukaryotic LSU rRNA
Rfam family: Eukaryotic large subunit ribosomal RNA
Source: RNAcentral
GAAUUUAAGCAUAUUAAUAAGCGGAGGAAAAGAAACUAACAAGGAUUCCCGUAGUAAUGGCGAAUGAACUGGGAAAGGCUCAAAUUUAAAAUCACUUUUUGUGAAUUGUAGUUUAAAGGAAAUAAGUCUCACAGUAAUCGCUAGUUAAGUAUUCUGGAAUGAAUCGUCAUAGAGGGUGAAAUUCCCGUAUACACUAGAUAGAAAGCUGCAAAGAACUUUUAUCCUAUGAGUCGUGUUGCUUGUGAAUGCAGCAUUAAUUGGGAGGUAAAUUCCUUCUAAGGCUAAAUACAAGAGAGAGACCGAUAGCAAACAAGUACCGUGAGGGAAAGAUGAAAGAGAACCCUGAAAAGGGGACUCAAAAGAAUGUGAAAUUGUCAAAAGGUAAGCGCUAAGAAUUGUUCGGAAUCUCGGUUUUAAACUUUUCAGAGUUCGCUCUGUAGUUUGGCUGGGGUGGCUAUAGCUUUUGUUUUGACUAUCAAGAAUUUAGGGAUAGGGAUUGUAGGCCUCGGCUUACCUUUUCUUGAACUAGACAAUUGACUGUUGGAGCAGGAGUAAAAGUCUCACAAAGGUGUUGAUGAAGGGUUUUUUCUCUUAUAGGCUUGCCUAGAGGAGUCAGAAGUCUUUAUCUUCUUUUUUAUGAGUAUUUAUAGUUAGAAGGUUCUAAGCGUCCCGUCUUGAAACACGGACCAAGGAGUCUAACACAUAUGCAGGUAUAUGGGCGUCAAACCCCAUGCGUAAUGAAAGUAAUUUCAGGUAGGAUCUCGCAAGAGUGCACUAUCAACCGAACCUUGUGGACUUGUUCACAGGAUUUGAGUAGAGC